UGCCUACGGGAGGCAGCAGUGGGGAAUCUUGCGCAAUGGGCGGAAGCCUGACGCAGCGACGCCGCGUGCGGGAAGAAGGCCUUCGGGUUGUAAACCGCUUUCAGGAGGGACGAAGCUACUCGGGUGAAUAGCCCAGAGGGUGACGGUACCUCCAGAAGAAGCCCCGGCUAACUACGUGCCAGCAGCCGCGGUAAUACGUAGGGGGCCAGCGUUGUCCGGAUUCAUUGGGCGUAAAGCGCGUGUAGGCGGCCAGAUAGGUCUGGUGUGAAAACUGGGGGCUCAACCUCCAGCCGUCAUCGGAAACCAUCUGGCUAGAGUCCGGAAGAGGAGAGUGGAAUUCCUGGUGUAGCGGUGAAAUGCGCAGAUAUCAGGAAGAACACCCAUGGCGAAGGCAGCUCUCUGGGACGGUACUGACGCUGAGACGCGAAAGCGUGGGGAGCGAACAGGAUUAGAUACCCUGGUAGUCC
Molecule: ribosomal RNA, 467 nt
Filed under: uncultured Gaiellaceae bacterium
Lineage: Bacteria; Bacillati; Actinomycetota; Thermoleophilia; Gaiellales; Gaiellaceae
Description: bacterial SSU rRNA
Rfam family: Bacterial small subunit ribosomal RNA
Source: RNAcentral